Molecule: long non-coding RNA, 325 nt
Organism: Pieris rapae (cabbage white)
Lineage: Eukaryota; Metazoa; Arthropoda; Insecta; Lepidoptera; Pieridae
Exons: 5
Source: RefSeq, a predicted model, not a curated record
ACAUGUUAAAACAUUUAUUUUCAAUAUAAAGGACUUCUUACAUUUGGAGUAUCAAAUGAUAAUAUUUGGAUCACCUGCCAACUUAAAGAAUCAUGAUUAUUUUCAUUUUAUGGUAUGUGGCCAUUGCAUACAGCUUCUACAGAGGUUGGUUACCAGCUGCACCGUCGGCAGCAGAAGGGUCGGGAGCUGCCACACAAGACAAACCAGUAGUUAAAAUGGAAUGCCUUAUAGGGCCAUAAUUCUGGAUUCGAAGAUGUCCCCCGUAAGCUAAAACUAGCUAAACAUUUGUGUAUUUCAGCACUAAAAUAAAGGAUAUGAAAAAUAA